UUGGAGAGUUGUCUCAUUUGCAAUCAUAUCACAUCUUCUUUUUUUAUAUGGAAUACUUUUGAAGUUUGUGGUACGUUGCAAGGAAAAAAGGGGGGAUAUAGGUACAAAACCUAUAAUGUAAUAGAUAUUAACCAGAGUAAAAUACACAACAACAGAUAAUACUAUGGAAGCAGUAAUAAUUGUGAGAAAAAAACCAAAAGCAA
RNAcentral lists this long non-coding RNA (203 nucleotides) under Mytilus galloprovincialis (Mediterranean mussel). Lineage: Eukaryota; Metazoa; Mollusca; Bivalvia; Mytilida; Mytilidae. The record is from RNAcentral.